RNAcentral lists this ribosomal RNA (550 nucleotides) under uncultured bacterium. RNAcentral describes it as "bacterial SSU rRNA". It matches the Rfam family "Bacterial small subunit ribosomal RNA", at positions 355 to 896 of the family's 1533-position model. The record is from RNAcentral.
UGAGGAAUAUUGCGCAAUGGGGGAAACCCUGACGCAGCAACGCCGCGUGGGUGAAGAAGGCCUUCGGGUCGUAAAGCCCUUUCGGACGGGACGAAAGUUCCGCGGGGAUAAUCCGCGGAGCCUGACGGUACCGUAGGAAGAAGCACCGGCUAACUCCGUGCCAGCAGCCGCGGUAAUACGGAGGGUGCAAGCGUUGUUCGGAAUUACUGGGCGUAAAGCGCGUGUAGGCGGCCUUGUAAGUCAGAUGUGAAAGCCCUCGGCUCAACCGGGGAAGUGCAUCUGAAACGGCAAGGCUUGAGUACGGGAGAGGGAGGCGGAAUUCCCAGUGUAGAGGUGAAAUUCGUAGAUAUUGGGAGGAACACCGGUGGCGAAAGCGGCCUCCUGGACCGAUACUGACGCUGAGACGCGAAAGCGUGGGGAGCAAGCAGGAUUAGAUACCCUGGUAGUCCACGCGGUAAACGAUGGGCACUAGGUGUGGGGGGUAUCCACUCCUCCCGUGCCGCAGCUAACGCAUUAAGUGCCCCGCCUGGGGAGUACGGCCGCAAGGCUA